AUACGGAGGAUCCGAGCGUUAUCCGGAUUUAUUGGGUUUAAAGGGAGCGUAGGCGGACGCUUAAGUCAGUUGUGAAAGUUUGCGGCUCAACCGUAAAAUUGCAGUUGAUACUGGGUGUCUUGAGUACAGUAGAGGCAGGCGGAAUUCGUGGUGUAGCGGUGAAAUGCUUAGAUAUCACGAAGAACUCCGAUUGCGAAGGCAGCCUGCUGGACUGUAACUGACGCUGAUGCUCGAAAGUGUGGGUAUCAAACAGGAUUAGAUACCCUGGUAGUCCACACAGUAAACGAUGAAUACUCGCUGUUUGCGAUAUACAGUAAGCGGCCAAGCGAAAGCGUUAAGUAUUCCACCUGGGGAGUACGCCGGCAACGGUGAAACUUAAAGGAAUUGACGGG
This 392-nucleotide ribosomal RNA is filed under the name uncultured bacterium. RNAcentral's name for it is "partial 16S ribosomal RNA". It matches the Rfam family "Bacterial small subunit ribosomal RNA", at positions 523 to 917 of the family's 1533-position model. The record is from RNAcentral.